UACGUAGGGUGCGAGCGUUGUCCGGAAUUACUGGGCGUAAAGAGCUCGUAGGUGGUUUGUCGCGUUGUUCGUGAAAACUCACAGCUUAACUGUGGGCGUGCGGGCGAUACGGGCAGACUGGAGUACUGCAGGGGAGACUGGAAUUCCUGGUGUAGCGGUGGAAUGCGCAGAUAUCAGGAGGAACGCCGGUGGCGAAGGCGGGUCUCUGGGCAGUAACUGACGCUGAGGAGCGAAAGCGUGGGGAGCGAACCGG
This 253-nucleotide ribosomal RNA is filed under the name uncultured bacterium. RNAcentral's name for it is "partial 16S ribosomal RNA". It matches the Rfam family "Bacterial small subunit ribosomal RNA", at positions 524 to 776 of the family's 1533-position model. The record is from RNAcentral.